GUUUGAUCCUGGCUCCAGAUUGAACGCUGGCGGGAUGCUUUACACAUGCAAGUCGAACGGCAGCACGGACUUCGGUCUGGUGGCGAGUGGCGAACAGGUGAGUAAUGUAUCGGAACGUGCCCAAUGGCGGAUAACUACGCGAAAGCGUAGCUAAUACCGCAUACGCCCUUCGGGGAAAGCGGGGGACCUUCGGGCCUCGCACUAUUAGAGCGGCCGAUAUCGGAUUAGCUAGUUGGUGGGGUAACGGCUCACCAAGGCGACGAUCCGUAGCUGGUUUGAGAGGACGACCAGCCACACUGGGACUGAGACACGGCCCAGACUCCUACGGGAGGCAGCAGUGGGGAAUUUUGGACAAUGGGGAAACCUGAUCCAGCCAUCCCGCGUGUGCGAUGAAGGCCUUCGGGUUGUAAGCACUUUUGGCAGGAAAGAAACGGCACGGGAUAAUACCCCGUGCAACUGACCAGUACCUGCAGAAUAAGCACCGGCUAACUACGUGCCAGCAGCCGCGGUAAUACGUAAGUGCAAGCGUUAAUCAGAUUACCGGGCGUAAAGCGUGCGCAGGCGGUUCCGGAAAGAAGAUGCUGAAAUCCCAGAGCUUAACUUUGGAACUGCAUUUUUAACUACCAGAGCUAGAGUGUGUCAGAGGGGAGGUGAAUCGCGAUGUGGCAGUGAUGCGUAGAUAUGCGGAGGAACACCGAUGGCGAAGGCAGCCUCCUGGGAUAACACUGACGCUCAUGCACGAAAGCGUGGGGAGCAAACAGGAUUAGAUACCCUGGUAGUCCGCCCUAAACGAUAUCAACUAGCUGUUGGGGCCUUCGGGCCUUGGUAGCAACUUCAACGCGUGAGAUUGACCGCCUGGGAAAUACGGUCGCAAGAUUAAAACUCAAAGGAAUUGACGGGGACCGCACAAGCGGUGGAUGAUGUGGAUUAAUUCGAUGCAGCAUUACGAAAAACGCACCUGCCCUUGACAUGUCUGGAAUCCGAAGAGAUUUAAGAGAUUUGCUCGCAAAGAGAACGGAACACAGGUGCUGCAUGGCUGUCGUCGGCUCAGCGUGUCGUGAGAUGUUGGGUUAAGUCCGCAACGAGCGCAACCCUUGUCAUUAGUUGCUACGAAAAGGGCACUCUAGUCGACUGCCGGUGUGAAGCCGGAGGAAGGUGGGGAUGACGUCAAGUCCUCAUGGCCCUUAUGGGUAGGGCUUCACGUCUGGCAAUGGUCGGGACAGAAGGUCUGCGCCAACCGCGAGGAGCGAUAGAAGCCCGAUCCAUGCGUCGGAUCGCGAUCUGCCAACUCGACUGCGUAAAGUCGGAAUCGCUCAGUAAUCAUGGAUCAGCGUGUCGCGAAGAAUACGGUCCAAGGUCUUGUACACACCGCCCGUCUGCACCUGUGGGAGUAGGUUUUACCAGAAAUGGUUAGCCUAACCGUAAGGAGGGCGAUUGCCUUCUGCACGGUAGGAUUCAUGACUGGGGUGAAGUCUCAUGCUGAGGUAGCCCUGUUACUACACCUGAUGCUUUAGCUAAGCUGUCUUAUCAAACGGGAUUCGAUCAUGGCGCCGACAGACGCUGGCAUACUAACACAUGCAAGUCGAACGAAGGCCUUCGGGGUUUAGUGGCGCACGGAGUGCCGUAACGCGUGGGAAUCUGCCCUUUGGUUCGGAAUAGCAGCUGGAAGCGAGCUUGCUAAUACCGGAUGAUGACGAGAGUCCAAAGAUUUAUCGCCAGAGGAUGAGCCCGCGUUGGAUUGCGAGUGGAUUGGUGGGUAAGGCCUGCAAGCCGACGAUCAUAAGCUGGUCUGAGAGGAUGAUCAGCCACCUGGGAUUCGAGGCGGCCCAGACUCUGCAAGGAGGCAGCAGUGAAAUAUUGGACAAUGGGCUGGCCCUGAUCCAACAUGCUGGCAUGGUGUGAUGAAGGCCCUAGGGUUGUAGCUCUUACCCGGGAAGAUAAUGACUGUACCGGGAGAAUAAGCCCGGCUAACUCCGUGCCCAGCAGCCGCGGUAAUACGGAGGGGGCUGGCGUUGUUCCAGGAAUUACUGGAGCGUAAAACGCACGUAGGCGACGGCUUUGUGGGAGUCAGAGGUGAGCGCGGAGCUCAACCAGACGCAGCUACUGUGAGACCACAUCAUGAUCCAGGAGAGGUCAGUAGAUUCCGAGUGUAGAGGUGAAAUUCGUAGAUAUUCGGAAAAGGGGAACGCACACACACACACACCAGUGGCAGGCGGCUGACUCGUUUCGUAUUCUGUCAGCUCAACGCAGCGGCGUCGUUUCGUGGCGCGGUUCUUCGACCUUCCGCAGCAACCUGCGAAGCACCGCUAUUGCCGCUAUGCCCUGGUGUUACCUCUUCAGCUGUAUGCGUUAACUCUGUCGUAAAAGAAAAAUUUGGCGGAAGAAGGCCUUCUGGCAGCUCGACAUCUGUUUAAUUGGCGUCUUGCGCCCAGCGUUUCCCUCUUUAUUGUUUAUCCGGCGGGCUCAAAUGGUUUCUUUGCUCGGGUUUGGACGUUCCGCAACUUACAAUAUGUCGAUAUGGCGCCAGCUCAUGAUUUCGUCACGGCGGCGCUGCGCAACCCUCAUUACAUUCAUUAUUGUAUUCAAGGCGUCUUACGACAGAUUGAAGAAGUGAAGUAACUCAGUCCCUCAUCUUUGCCGCAUUCCGCUGUUUGCUAUGCGGCGCCCAGCGUGCUCAUCGUUAUCAUUGAUUAUUCUCUGCAAUAUCGGAAGAAGCGCGCAGCGGUCGAUCUUCGCCAUCUGGGUCUUUGUAUUCGUUUAAGUGGGCGUAAC
RNAcentral lists this unclassified non-coding RNA (2772 nucleotides) under uncultured Bordetella sp. Its description in RNAcentral is "partial 16S-23S ribosomal RNA intergenic spacer". The stretch from base 1 to 1512 matches the Rfam family "Bacterial small subunit ribosomal RNA". Lineage: Bacteria; Pseudomonadati; Pseudomonadota; Betaproteobacteria; Burkholderiales; Alcaligenaceae. The record is from RNAcentral.